CAUAUUCAACUUCACAUCUAUCCUACACCCAUAUGAUGUAUAUAUUCAUAGAAUCAAAUGGUUUGGUCGAACAACAACCAUAUGCAUAAUAUGGCUUUCAAAGCAUAUUUCAUCAUCUUUCUCUUGUUCCUUUUGAUGCCAUGUUUCAUGGAUUGUAGAGCCAUAAUUGUUGAAGAAAUCCCCCACAUCUCAAAAGGAGGCUUUCUUUCAAAAUUAUACACCAACAUGAUGGAUCUCACAAAAAGAAGAAAAUUGAAGGGACAGGAUUUUAAUCCUCCGUAUUAUUAUCCUCCUACUUGUGGAUUUUACGGAUCCACGCCUUAUUGUGAAAGAUGCAUUUAUAUGCCACCAUAUGUACCGUGUUAUUGCUAAAAAUAGGUAAUUCAUGGUUGUUCAACAAGAAUUUAAAAUUAUAAACAGCUUUUGUAAGAAAUAAAAGCUUGAAAUUUUUCUAGCUGGAUUUCGUAGAAGUUUGAAGUUGUUUGUAAUAUUCAGAUGUUUGUAUGUGUGAUUAAAAUGUCAUUAUCUAUAAUAUUUUAUGUUGUUAUCUGA
This is a long non-coding RNA of Dendrobium catenatum, 552 nucleotides long. RefSeq lists it as uncharacterized. The transcript is spliced from 2 exons. NCBI's taxonomy places the organism in Eukaryota, Viridiplantae, Streptophyta, Magnoliopsida, Asparagales, Orchidaceae. The record is from RefSeq and is a predicted model, not a curated record.